UAGGUAGCUUAACCUUCAGGAGGGCGCUUACCACUUUGUGAUUCAUGACUGGGGUGAAGUCGUAACAAGGUAACCGUAGGGGAACCUGCGGUUGGAUCACCUCCUUA
This 107-nucleotide ribosomal RNA is filed under the name Escherichia coli. Its description in RNAcentral is "partial 16S ribosomal RNA". It matches the Rfam family "Bacterial small subunit ribosomal RNA", at positions 1427 to 1533 of the family's 1533-position model. Lineage: Bacteria; Pseudomonadati; Pseudomonadota; Gammaproteobacteria; Enterobacterales; Enterobacteriaceae. The record is from RNAcentral.